This 491-nucleotide ribosomal RNA is filed under the name uncultured bacterium. Its description in RNAcentral is "partial 16S ribosomal RNA". It matches the Rfam family "Bacterial small subunit ribosomal RNA", at positions 28 to 507 of the family's 1533-position model. The record is from RNAcentral.
GAUGAACGCUGGCUACAGGCUUAACACAUGCAAGUCGAGGGGAAACGACGGGGAAGCUUGCUUCCCCGGGCGUCGACCGGCGCACGGGUGAGUAACGCGUAUCCAACCUGCCUCUGACUGAGGGAUAACCCGUCGAAAGUCGGCCUAAUACCUCAUGGCAUCGUCUGCGGGCAUCCAACGACGAUUAAAGAUUUCAUCGGUCAGAGAUGGGGAUGCGUCUGAUUAGCUUGUUGGCGGGGUAACGGCCCACCAAGGCGACGAUCAGUAGGGGUUCUGAGAGGAAGGUCCCCCACAUUGGAACUGAGACACGGUCCAAACUCCUACGGGAGGCAGCAGUGAGGAAUAUUGGUCAAUGGGCGAGAGCCCGAACCAGCCAAGUAGCGUGCAGGAUGACGGCCCUAUGGGUUGUAAACUGCUUUUAUGCGGGGAUAAAGUGAGGGACGUGUCCUUCAUUGCAGGUACCGCAUGAAUAAGGACCGGCUAAUUCCGUG